Gasterosteus aculeatus aculeatus (three-spined stickleback) is the source of this 586-nucleotide long non-coding RNA. NCBI's taxonomy places the organism in Eukaryota, Metazoa, Chordata, Actinopteri, Perciformes, Gasterosteidae. The record is from Ensembl.
GGUGAAGCGUUUGAAGCAGGAAGGUACUUCACACAGCUCCACUGAUCGGCUGAAGAUCAUUGUGAGGAUAGGGGCCAGCUGGUUAGCACAGACAUUCAGGCAUGAAAAGGGGCACAGCAUACAGGCAUGGUGCCUUCACUUACUUCUACACCACUAACAGUAUUAGCUGAAAAGAUUGGGGAUAGAGCCUGAUAGAUGUAACCCUAUGUAAGGAUCCUUUUCUGACCCGUUUUUUGGUUUCCCCGAUAGCCCAUCCACAUGUUUUCUGUCAUUCCCCUGUUUGUUGUUGUCUGCAAUGUGCUCUGUGUUUUUUCCUCUGCCACCCUCAGGACACCUCCCAUGUUGACUCCUUUGAUUGGUGCACAGCUGCAGAGGAUAAAGCCGAUUGUCAACUGGCCGAAACUCCUGAUUGUCAUCCAUUCUCAUCUCUUGGCAACAUUUAAGCCCUGUUCCUGCAGGCCUUGGAUGCCAGUUCCUACAGUCAUUUGAGCUGGACCCCAGUAUCCACACAGUCGAGAUUGCCUGCUGCCUGGAUGUCGGAACACCGAACACCACACCGUUGGCCAGCUGGGUCCCUUAUAUUGAA